GAUGAACGCUGGCGGCGUGCCUAAUACAUGCAAGUCGAGCGAACGGACGAGAAGCUUGCUUCUCUGAUGUUAGCGGCGGACGGGUGAGUAACACGUGGAUAACCUACCUAUAAGACUGGGAUAACUUCGGGAAACCGGAGCUAAUACCGGAUAAUAUUUUGAACCGCAUGGUUCAAAAGUGAAAGACGGUCUUGCUGUCACUUAUAGAUGGAUCCGCGCUGCAUUAGCUAGUUGGUAAGGUAACGGCUUACCAAGGCAACGAUGCAUAGCCGACCUGAGAGGGUGAUCGGCCACACUGGAACUGAGACACGGUCCAG
This 317-nucleotide ribosomal RNA is filed under the name uncultured bacterium. RNAcentral describes it as "bacterial SSU rRNA". It matches the Rfam family "Bacterial small subunit ribosomal RNA", at positions 28 to 334 of the family's 1533-position model. The record is from RNAcentral.